Molecule: long non-coding RNA, 132 nt
Organism: Mustela erminea (ermine)
Lineage: Eukaryota; Metazoa; Chordata; Mammalia; Carnivora; Mustelidae
Exons: 3
Source: RefSeq, a predicted model, not a curated record
UAGCUAUUUCCUGGCCAUUUGUGCCCCUGAAUUCCCUUUCUAACAUACUGUUUAUGUCCAUAGCCAGUAGCUCUGAUGGAGACAGCACACUCUCUGAAUUUUUCCUCAUUGGGUGUUCCUCCUUCUAGUCAU